This 1447-nucleotide ribosomal RNA is filed under the name Ralstonia insidiosa. Its description in RNAcentral is "bacterial SSU rRNA". It matches the Rfam family "Bacterial small subunit ribosomal RNA". Lineage: Bacteria; Pseudomonadati; Pseudomonadota; Betaproteobacteria; Burkholderiales; Burkholderiaceae. The record is from RNAcentral.
ACGGCAGCAUGAUCUAGCUUGCUAGAUUGAUGGCGAGUGGCGAACGGGUGAGUAAUACAUCGGAACGUGCCCUGUAGUGGGGGAUAACUAGUCGAAAGAUUAGCUAAUACCGCAUACGACCUGAGGGUGAAAGUGGGGGACCGCAAGGCCUCAUGCUAUAGGAGCGGCCGAUGUCUGAUUAGCUAGUUGGUGGGGUAAAGGCCCACCAAGGCGACGAUCAGUAGCUGGUCUGAGAGGACGAUCAGCCACACUGGGACUGAGACACGGCCCAGACUCCUACGGGAGGCAGCAGUGGGGAAUUUUGGACAAUGGGGGCAACCCUGAUCCAGCAAUGCCGCGUGUGUGAAGAAGGCCUUCGGGUUGUAAAGCACUUUUGUCCGGAAACGGAAAUUCGCCACCUUAACUUAAUAUUAGGGUGUGGAAUGACCGGUAGCCGGAAGGAAUAAAGGACCCGGCUAACUACGUGCCAGCAGCCGCGGUAAUACGUAGGGUCCCAAGCGUUUAAUCGGAAUUACUGGGCGUAAAGCGUGCGCAGGCGGUUGUGCAAGACCGAUGUGAAAUCCCCGGGGCUUAACCUGGGAAUUGCAUUGGUGACUGCACGGCUAGAGUGUGUCAGAGGGGGGGUAGAAUUCCACGUGUAGCAGUGAAAUGCGUAGAGAUGUGGAGGAAUACCGAUGGCGAAGGCAGCCCCCUGGGAUAACACUGACGCUCAUGCACGAAAGCGUGGGGAGCAAACAGGAUUAGAUACCCUGGUAGUCCACGCCCUAAACGAUGUCAACUAGUUGUUGGGGAUUCAUUUCCUUAGUAACGUAGCUAACGCGUGAAGUUGACCGCCUGGGGGAGUACGGUCGCAAGAUUAAAACUCAAAGGAAUUGACGGGGGACCCGCACAAGCGGUGGAUGAUGUGGAUUAAUUCGAUGCAACGCGAAAAAACCUUACCUACCCUUGACAUGCCACUAACGAAGCAGAGAUGCAUUACGUGCUCGAAAGAGAAAGUGGGACACAGGUGCUGCAUCGGCCUGUUCGUCAGCUCGAUGAUCGAUGAGAUGAUUGGAGAUUAAGGUUCCCCCGUCAAGCGACAGCCGUCAACCCUUGUCUCUAGUUGCUACGAAAGGGCACUCUAGAGAGACUGCCGGUGACAAACCGGAGGAAGGUGGGGAUGACGUCAAGUCCUCAUGGCCCUUAUGGGUAGGGCUUCACACGUCAUACAAUGGUGCAUACAGAGGGUUGCCAAGCCGCGAGGUGGAGCUAAUCCCAGAAAAUGCAUCGUAGUCCGGAUCGUAGUCUGCAACUCGACUACGUGAAGCUGGAAUCGCUAGUAAUCGCGGAUCAGCAUGCCGCGGUGAAUACGUUCCCGGGUCUUGUACACACCGCCCGUCACACCAUGGGAGUGGGUUUUGCCAGAAGUAGUUAGCCUAACCGUAAGGAGGGCGAUUACCACGGCAGG